Non-coding RNA from Castor canadensis (American beaver), 889 nucleotides. NCBI's taxonomy places the organism in Eukaryota, Metazoa, Chordata, Mammalia, Rodentia, Castoridae. The record is from RefSeq and is a predicted model, not a curated record.
AGAAGUCUUUUUGGAAUUGCAUGGAAUUCUUAUCACCAUUCCAAAGAAGUAAUGACUUGUCACUUACCAGCUCAUCUCUGGGACAGAACAAAACAGUACACUCAAAAGUUCAAAGUGAUUAUUGGAGUCCCAUGGAUUUCUUGCUACCACACUAAGAAGAGCUGAUUUUUGUGACUUCUACCAGUUUCUUUAUCUGAGAAAGAACACAAUGUUGCAUUCUUGAGGAUUUUAGCACCUUUUUAUUCUUCUGAUGACUCCUCAUAUGCGAGCCAUGCAUGGAGAAUGAUGGAGAUUGUCUUCCUCACUGGAGUGGCAGUGGGAAAUUUGGCUCUGCUAAGAGUUGUACUUGUCUGAAUACCACUGCGUCCUAAGCAGUAUAGCUUGGAAUCAAGAUAAUCUUGUACCGAAAUGAAGUGUGUGGCUAAGAUUGUACCUGAGGCCUCAGCAGAACGUUCUGUUGGGUGUGAGUAUUGAAGAGUGUAGUGAAGAAUUUUUUUAAUUUUAUGUGACCUUAGGAUCAAUUUUGAAUAUGUUUAACUUUCUCAUACCACAGUACAAUAGUCGUCCAUGCUAGUUUCCAGUUCUGUAUGCUUCUCCCAGUUGCUCAAUGUGGUCAAUCCAGAUAGGUAUUUUAUAUGCCCACUUCAUGGUGACCACUUCCUUAUGAGUGCUAGAUAUAACCUAUUUGACUAGCCCUGCUGACCCCCAGUCACCGUGGACUGUGAAUACAUGUUUCAGUGACCACCUGUCAGUCACAGUGUCACUCCACAAAGCUUGUGCCUGCUUGCUGUAAAUCUACAAAUUAAAACUUAAUAAGGAAAACCUGUUUAGAUAACACGCUGGGCCUAACUCUCUCUCUCUCUCUCUCGCUUCCUCCCUGUCCCUCCCU